RNAcentral lists this ribosomal RNA (465 nucleotides) under uncultured bacterium. RNAcentral's name for it is "partial 16S ribosomal RNA". It matches the Rfam family "Bacterial small subunit ribosomal RNA", at positions 28 to 507 of the family's 1533-position model. The record is from RNAcentral.
GACGAGCGCUGGCGGCGUGCUUAACACAUGCAAGUCGAACGGAAAGGCCCUGCUUGCAGGGUACUCGAGUGGCGAACGGGUGAGUAACACGUGGGUGAUCUGCCCUGCACUUCGGGAUAAGCCUGGGAAACUGGGUCUAAUACCGGAUAGGAGCCAUUUUUAGUGUGAUGGUUGGAAAGUUUUUUCGGUGUAGGAUGAGCUCGCGGCCUAUCAGCUUGUUGGUGGGGUAAUGGCCUACCAAGGCGGCGACGGGUAGCCGGCCUGUGAGGGUGGACGGCCACAUUGGGACUGAGGGACGGCCCAGACUCCUACGGGAGGCAGCAGUGGGGAAUAUUGCACAAUGGGCGCAAGGCUGAUGCAGCGACGCCGCGUGGGGGAUGACGGCCUUCGGGUUGUAAACUCCUUUCGCUAGGGACGAAGCUUUUUGUGACGGUACCUAGAUAAGAAGCACCGGCUAACUACGUG